RNAcentral lists this ribosomal RNA (253 nucleotides) under uncultured bacterium. Its description in RNAcentral is "partial 16S ribosomal RNA". It matches the Rfam family "Bacterial small subunit ribosomal RNA", at positions 524 to 776 of the family's 1533-position model. The record is from RNAcentral.
UACGUAGGGGCCGAGCGUUGUCCGGAGUUAUUGGGCGUAAAGCGCGCGCAGGCGGCUUCGCGCGCCCGACGUGAAAGCCCCCGGCUUAACCGGGGAGAGUCGUUGGGGACGGCGGAGCUUGAGGGCGGGAGAGGUCGGUGGAAUUCCCGGUGUAGUGGUGAAAUGCGUAGAUAUUGGGAGGAACACCAGUGGCGAAGGCGGCUCACUGGACCGGUACUGACGCUGAGGCGCGAAAGCGUGGGGAGCAAACGGG